AGUAGUAAAAGACUAAAAAUCAGACAAAAGAUCAGAAUUACCUGUCAUAUGAUUUAUAGCACAAGAAUCAAUGACCCAUUUGGACGAGGAGGACACAAGGCAUGUAGUGAAUUUACAUAACUCAGCGAUUGCAAUGAUUGAGGAAUUGGUAGGCUUUAGAGAUGUCUUCUCAGAGGAGGAAGAUACUAUAGAAUUUUCUGUUACCAUAUUUGCCAGUGUUAUCAAAGGCGAGCGAG
RNAcentral lists this unclassified non-coding RNA (236 nucleotides) under Hevea brasiliensis (rubber tree). The record is from RNAcentral. Lineage: Eukaryota; Viridiplantae; Streptophyta; Magnoliopsida; Malpighiales; Euphorbiaceae.